This 497-nucleotide ribosomal RNA is filed under the name uncultured bacterium. Its description in RNAcentral is "partial 16S ribosomal RNA". It matches the Rfam family "Bacterial small subunit ribosomal RNA", at positions 28 to 507 of the family's 1533-position model. The record is from RNAcentral.
GAUGAACGCUGGCGGCGUGCCUAAUACAUGCAAGUCGAGCGAACAGACGAGGAGCUUGCUCCUCUGACGCUAGCGGCGGACGGGUGAGUAACACGUGGAUAACCUACCUAUAAGACUGGGAUAACUUCGGGAAACCGGAGCUAAUACCGGAUAAUAUAUUGAACCGCAUGGUUCAAUAGUGAAAGACGGUUUUGCUGUCACUUAUAGAUGGAUCCGCGCCGCAUUAGCUAGUUGGUAAGGUAACGGCUUACCAAGGCAACGAUGCGUAGCCGACCUGAGAGGGUGAUCGGCCACACUGGAACUGAGACACGGUCCAGACUCCUACGGGAGGCAGCAGUAGGGAAUCUUCCGCAAUGGGCGAAAGCCUGACGGAGCAACGCCGCGUGAGUGAUUAAGGUCUUCGGAUCGUAAAACUCUGUUAUUAGGGAAGAACAAAUGUGCAAGUAACUAUGCACGUCUUGACGGUACCUAAUCAGAAAGCCACGGCUAACUACGUG